Molecule: ribosomal RNA, 477 nt
Filed under: Babesia major
Lineage: Eukaryota; Apicomplexa; Aconoidasida; Piroplasmida; Babesiidae
Description: SSU rRNA
Rfam family: Eukaryotic small subunit ribosomal RNA
Source: RNAcentral
GUCUUGUAAUUGGAAUGAUGGCGACGUAAAAGCUCGCCAGAGUACCAAUUGGAGGGCAGUCUGGUGCCAGCAGCCGCGGUAAUUCCAGCUCCAAUAGCGUAUAUUAAACUUGUUGCAGUUAAAAAGCUCGUAGUUGAACUUCAGCCGUUGCGCCGUCCGACUUUGGUUGGUGUUGCGCUGUGGCUUAUCCUUUUACUUUGAGAAAAUUAGAGUGUUUCAAGCAGACUUUUGUCUUGAAUACUUCAGCAUGGAAUAAUAGAGUAGGACCUAUGUUCUAUUUUGUUGGUUUCCGAACGUGGGUAAUGGUUAAUAGGAACGGUUGGGGGCAUUCGUAUUUAACUGUCAGAGGUGAAAUUCUUAGAUUUGUUAAAGACGAACUAGUGCGAAAGCAUUUGCCAAGGACGUUUUCAUUAAUCAAGAACGAAAGUUAGGGGAUCGAAGACGAUCAGAUACCGUCGUAGUCCUAACCAUAAACUA